This 87-nucleotide transfer RNA is filed under the name Acidobacteriota bacterium. Its description in RNAcentral is "Acidobacteria bacterium (activated sludge metagenome) tRNA-Leu". It matches the Rfam family "tRNA". From Rfam's summary of the family: Transfer RNA (tRNA) molecules are approximately 80 nucleotides in length. Their secondary structure includes four short double-helical elements and three loops (D, anti-codon, and T loops). The record is from RNAcentral. Lineage: Bacteria; Pseudomonadati; Acidobacteriota.
GCCGGAGUGGCGGAAUUGGUAGACGCAGAGGACUCAAAAUCCUCCGCCCGCAAGGGUGUGCGAGUUCGAGUCUCGCCUCCGGCACCA